AGUUGUCGUUUUAAUGUUAUAUUUCACAUGGAUAUAAAAGAGGGAGGUUUGGCAUGCCACAAAAACCAGGUUCAACCCACCAUUUUUUCCUUUAAAAAUGUCCUGUACCAAGUCAGGAAUAUGGCCAUUGUUAUAUUAUAGUUCGUUUCUGUGUGUGUUACAUUUUAACGUUGCGUCGUUUGUUUUCUCUUAUUUUUGAGUGUAAAUUCACAUUGCGAUAAGACGUGUCAC
Molecule: long non-coding RNA, 231 nt
Filed under: Mytilus galloprovincialis (Mediterranean mussel)
Lineage: Eukaryota; Metazoa; Mollusca; Bivalvia; Mytilida; Mytilidae
Source: RNAcentral